GAUGAUUCAACCAAGCAUGAGGCGGGGCAAUCAGUUCAGGAAGCUGCGGUAGUAAAUGUAGGUGUUUUUGUCUUGGCAGUGCGUUUGCUGUUUUAAAUGGCCAAAUCGUUCAAAUGUGUCAUUUUGUGGUCGUAUGUUACUUUGCAGGUUUCCUCUGAAAAAAAGAAGAAGAGGUCUUCGACCCCACCGCCGCCAUCUCCUCCACAGUCUUCGCUGCUGGUGGUAGAUGAGGACGAUGAGGAGGAAGUGCAUUCUGACGACAGUGACGCCCCUUCUGAAGUAGGAGAGAAGAUGAAGUGCACGACGAGACAGAAGGAGCAGCAGCAGCAGCCGCAGGUCCGGGAGUGAUAGUGAAGACUUGCCUAGAUCUGAAGCGAUCUGUCUGUCAGCCGUCAAGGAGCCAUGGACGGGAAGAGACUGAGGAAAAGCUCGUUCAACAAACCCAUAAAGGGGAGCAAGAAGGCGCAAGGACGGGUAACUAUAUGCUUUAUAUUUGACUAAUUUAGGUACAAAUGGGCUAUGUGUCAAAUACUUAAACAAUAAUGGUGUGUGUUUUGGCGUCUUUAGGUCACGCCCGAUGGCCACAUGCACUCCACAUCCAAGCAGUCGCCUAAUUUGCAGAAGCCAUGGCCAAGGAGGCCAACAAUUUGGCAGAGAAGGCAAAGCGGGCUCUGAUAAUAGCUGAGAAAGCCGCGAAGGCCGCGCAAGACGCUGCGGUGCUGGUUGACGCCACGCCAAAGACAUCGCGUCCUCCAAAGGUAUUGCUACUGAAAAUGGCCUUCUCUAUUCCGUUGAUAUUCUUUGUUAAUAGACGGAAAUGUCGAUAAUGUACAAUAAUUGUAUUUUGGUUUGUCUUUACAGAAGCGCAAGGCCAGCGAAGACGAUGAUGAGGAUAGUGCGGAAUCUCUCGCAUCUGAUGAUAAGAAAGAGUUAAGGGUGAGGUUUCGUUUUUAUUUGGUUCAAGUCUGACGAUUUUAGUCAAAUAUGCCUGGAUGUAUUUUAAGUUCCUUUUUUUGAUUACAGUAUAAGU
Molecule: long non-coding RNA, 1030 nt
Organism: Frankliniella occidentalis (western flower thrips)
Lineage: Eukaryota; Metazoa; Arthropoda; Insecta; Thysanoptera; Thripidae
Exons: 3
Source: RefSeq, a predicted model, not a curated record